UAAGCGUGCGCAGGCGGUUUUGUAAGACUGUCGUGAAAUCCCCGGGCUCAACCUGGGAAUGGCGAUGGUGACUGCAAGGCUAGAGUUUGGCAGAGGGGGGUAGAAUUCCACGUGUAGCAGUGAAAUGCGUAGAUAUGUGGAGGAACACCGAUGGCGAAGGCAAUCCCCUGGGCCUGUACUGACGCUCAUGCACGAAAGCGUGGGGAGCAAACAGGAUUAGAUACCCUAGU
This 230-nucleotide ribosomal RNA is filed under the name uncultured bacterium. RNAcentral describes it as "partial 16S ribosomal RNA". It matches the Rfam family "Bacterial small subunit ribosomal RNA", at positions 563 to 791 of the family's 1533-position model. The record is from RNAcentral.